CCCUUAGAUGUUCUGGGCCGCACGCGCGCUACACUGAUGCAUUCAACGAGCCUAUCCUUGACCGACAGGUCCGGGUAAUCUUUGAAUCUGCAUCGUGACGGGGAUAUAUUAUUGCAAUUAUUAAUCUUCAACGAGGAAUGCCUAGUAGGCGCAAGUCAUCAGCUUGCGUCGAUUACGUCCCUGCCCUUUGUACACACCGCCCGUCGCUCCUACCGAUUGGGUGUGCUGGUGAAAUGUUCGGAUCGGCCGUUUGUCGCGGUUUCCGCGUCAUGUGGCUGAGAAGUUCAUUAAACCCUCCCACCUAGAGGAAGGAGAAGUCGUAACA
RNAcentral lists this ribosomal RNA (325 nucleotides) under uncultured eukaryote. RNAcentral describes it as "partial 18S ribosomal RNA". It matches the Rfam family "Eukaryotic small subunit ribosomal RNA", at positions 1470 to 1796 of the family's 1831-position model. The record is from RNAcentral.